AACAGAAAGAACGGAAAUAAUAACGGAAAUAACGGAAAUAACGGAAAUAACCUCCGCAGGGACAGAAACAUACAGCAGGAAAUUAGGUGACAGGUCGAGAAUAACAACGGAAAGAACGGAAAGAACAGAAAGUACCUCCAGAGUGACAGAAACAUACGGCAAAAAAUUAGGUGAAAGGUCAAGAAGAACAACCGAAAUAACAGAAAAAACCAAAAUAACGGAAAUAAUAACGGAAAUAACAGAAAUAAUAACGGAAAUAGCGGAAAAAUAAACGGGAAUACUAACAGAAAAAUAUAACGGAAAUAAUAACGGAAAUAAUAACGGAAAUAACGGAUAUAACAGAAAUAACGGAAAUAACUCCACAGAGACAGAAAAUUACGACAGACAAUUAAGUGACAGGUCAAGAACAAAAACAGAAAUAAUGGAAAUAACGGAAAUAACGAAAAUAACAGAAAUAACCUCCGAAAGACAGAAACAUACGGCAGAAAAUUAACUGACAGAUCAAGAACA
This 510-nucleotide long non-coding RNA is filed under the name Gallus gallus (chicken). RNAcentral describes it as "lncRNA (ENSGALG00010006771.1)". The record is from RNAcentral. Lineage: Eukaryota; Metazoa; Chordata; Aves; Galliformes; Phasianidae.